This 1194-nucleotide long non-coding RNA is filed under the name Chinchilla lanigera (long-tailed chinchilla). Its description in RNAcentral is "lncRNA (ENSCLAG00000025844.1)". The record is from RNAcentral. Lineage: Eukaryota; Metazoa; Chordata; Mammalia; Rodentia; Chinchillidae.
UCUAGCUCCGCUGAUGAGUCAUACCAGGCCCAGUGACACCACUGUCACUAUCCUUAUCCAGCAGAUAGGACAUCGCCCCCCUCCAUCCCUCAGCCACCCCGCCCCUCCUGCCCAAGCUGGGCUGCCCUUGCUCUGUGACACCUCCUGAUGGUGUGACUGACAGUGACAUCGAGGCAGCUGUUGUCCCUCUGGCAGGACCUACCUUGCCUGGUGACUCAGACCCUGCUGCUGAGGGAUCUGACAGUGCUGUAGAUGGAUCGUGUAGCCGGGAGCCAGACUUUCCAGCCUUGCCACUCUCCCUGCUCUGAAAGUCACUUCUGGAUGAUCAAAUGAAAAUGCAGCUUCAGUCCGUGAACCCCAAAGCACCUUCUAAGCUCUAACAUUUGGGGACUGUCUGAUCCCCAUAAUUAUAAGCCGCAUGGAAACAGGCCCCAUGUCUAUGAAUUGACCAAGCUUAUUUUAUGUAAAUCAUACCUCAAAGUAGCUGGAAAAAGCAAAUCCAAAUGCUCAAGAUACAUGGCAAUCAAAAGAAUAUUCCAGGAUUACUGAGACCUUGGGUAUGUGGCCGGUACCCAUGAGAAUGGGAUCAGAGAAUAAAUUUGAAGGAGAAAGAGGAAGAGGAGGAGGAGGAGAAGGAGGAGAAGGACAAGGAGAAGGAGAAGGAGGAGAAGGACAAGGAGAAGGAGAAGGAGAAGAAGGAGAAGAAGGAGAAGGAGAAAGAGAAGAAGGAGAAGAAGAAGGAGAAGGAGAAGGACAAGGACAAGGAGAAGGAGAAGGAGAAGGAGAAGAAGAAGGAGAGGAGGAGGAGGAAGCAUGAAGAAAAAGUCUUGUUGAACUGCUCUGAUCUCCUAGCCAUAAAAUAUACCCUUGGGAUUAGAUCCUUGCUGUGAAAUACUGCCCAGCGAUUAGAUCUGGAGCCAUGAAAUAUAACCAUGCAUUUAGAUCUCCACCUUGGAAAUACAGUUUGCUGAUUAGAUCGCCCCCAUGAAAUACGGCCUUUGGGUUAGCGCAUGCCAGUAAAAUAUGGCCUUUGAUUAGAUCACCGCGGAGAAGGCUCCAAUGCUGGCUGGGACUGGGAACGUUCACCACAGCUGAGCAAAAUAAAAUAUAAAUGUAUGGAGAGGAAGAGAAAGUGGGGAAGGUAAAUUAAUAAUGGCGACAUCCUGGAACUUCUCGGAGGUUGCCAGUCUGAUG